Vicia faba (fava bean) is the source of this 299-nucleotide non-coding RNA. The record is from the annotation of a GenBank genome assembly. Lineage: Eukaryota; Viridiplantae; Streptophyta; Magnoliopsida; Fabales; Fabaceae.
AUAAAGCUCUGUAUGGACUGAAGCAAGCGCCUAGAGCUUGGAAUCUGAAAAUUGAUUCAUUUUUCAAGAAGCGGGAGUUUCAGAAAUGUGAGAUGGAAUAUGGAGUUUAUAUACAACACUAUGAUAACAAUAUGAUUCUGGUAUGUCUCUAUGUUGAUGAAAUUUUGCUAACAGGUAGCUGCCCAAAAGAUAUAAAGAAGUUCAAAGAAGUUCUAAUGAAUGAGUUCGAGAUGAGAGAUCUAGGAAAAAUGACAUAUUUCCCAGGGAUGGAGAUUAUGUACUCGAAAAAGGGUAUCAUU